CUGCGAAUAUUCUCGCUGUUCGGAUAGUCAAGGCAGGCUAAACAUUUGCUAUAUUAAGACCAUGCAUGUGUCCCCAGAUCUACUUCUUUUCCUAAGUCUGGUUUUAUAAAUGCUGGUGAUAAAC
This 124-nucleotide small nucleolar RNA is filed under the name Capra hircus (goat). RNAcentral's name for it is "Small nucleolar RNA SNORA72 (ENSCHIG00010007865.1, ENSCHIG00020012928.1)". It matches the Rfam family "Small nucleolar RNA SNORA72". Rfam says of the family: U72 is a member of the H/ACA class of snoRNAs. The snoRNA gene is located in intron 4 of the ribosomal L30 protein gene in human, mouse and chicken. Lineage: Eukaryota; Metazoa; Chordata; Mammalia; Artiodactyla; Bovidae. The record is from Rfam by way of RNAcentral.